CUUCGCCCCGUCCCGUCCGCGCAGCGCGUCCGGCCCGCCCGCAGGCCAGCUUCUCUCGGGAGCCCCCACCCAGGCGCAUGGCUCCAUGAAGCAAGAGGAGGAGGCAGAGCGCGAGAGGUCCCGUCCGCCCCAGCCGCGUCUGGGCCAGGAUAAAAGCAAAACCAUAUUCCUGCUGCUGUCAGUUAUGAUGCACUGAGAAAACUUCAGAGACCUAAACUUUUUCCAGAGAAGAGAAGCUUUACUGGUGUUCCAGCCCUAAGAAACCUUUGUUCAAGAAAACGGCAGAUGCUCUGUUGAAUCCACUGGAGAUUGUUCUGAUACUAAGGACAAGUAUCAACCAUCUUUCCUGUGAAAAAUUCCCUCUCGUACUUUAGUUCUGUGGAUCCAAAAUUUAUAGCAUUCUUCUACCACCACAGGGGCUCAUAUGACAUUAACAGACAAGACACUUUUCAGAAAGACAGGCAACGUGUUGGACCUUCCGGAGCUUCUCAGAAGACAGAGGGUUUUCUUUUGAGGAUUUAAACCUCAGACACAGGGAGCUGACCUAUUCACCUUAGAAUCCUCUGGGGCACCCAUUACAGUGUCUGUACCAAGGAGGCAACAAAGAACGGCGGAACAGACUGGAGCAGAAGGACCACCCAGCAGAGCCAAGCCAAAUCACUGACCCUCAGAGGCCUGAUGUGAAUGCUUAUGGCUUCAGUCCAUUGGAUUCUGCAGUAAUCUGCCGAUCUACAGUAUUACCACAGUAAAUAACCGAUAGACCUGAAAACGAAUGCAUGCCUUGUGCCAAAAUUGCAGGAAACCUCACCAGGAGAAACAAUUUUAUAUGAGGGAAUGUACUCUCUCCUUUGCAUUUUCCCUCAAAUCUAUAUUUUUAGCCCCUCACUUGUCUCUACAGAGCCUCAGUUGCUUAAUCUAAUUGCUGACUGAACAUCUCCAGGAAACUGUGUGUACGUGUUUGUAUUCAUAGUAUAUUUAUUUAUUAUCUGUUUACUUCCAUGGGAUAUAGUCUCCAUAAGAGAGUAGUCAUCAUUGUAUUUGUUGAUGCUUAAUAAAUAAUCAUUGAAUGGGCCGGGUGUGGUGGCUCAUGCCUGUAAUCCCAGCACUUUUGGAGGCCGAGGUGGGCAGAUCACAAGGUCAGGAGAUUGAGACCAUCCUGGCUAACAUGGUGAAACCCUGUCUCUACUAAAAAUACAAAAAAUUAGCUCGGUGUGGUGGUGGGUGCCUGUAGUCCCAGCUACUCAGGAGGCUGAGGCAGGGGAAUGGCUUGAACCCAGGAGGCGGAGCUUGCAGUGAGCCGAGAUUGCGCCACUGUGCUCCAGCCUGGGUGACAGAGCGAGACUCUGUCUCAAAAAAAAUAAAAAAAUAAAAAACAAUAAAAUAAUCAUUGAAAGAAGGAAUCAAAGAAUGUGGUCCCGGGUUGGGUGCCCUUAGUUCAGUCCCUGAGAAUUUAUGAGUAUAAUGUUUUGCUUUUUAAAAAGUGAAAAAAGGGAGCAUAGUUUCAUUGAAGGAGAAGUUAAACUAUGACUCAGGCCCCCAAACAGUCUCACCUGACCCCAUAUGCUGCUGUUGGACUAAAAUGUCUCAAUAGAACUGUCCUUAGUCAGCCGCUUUACACCUGCUUGGAUUAGCCACUGGAUAUGAAGCUUCCCCAGAAAGUGGAGAGAACUCAGCAAGGGUGCUCUCCAUAGCUGAAGCAACCCUGGGAGGGCCUGAGAGCCAAGUCUAUCUUCCAACAGUAUUCCCAGCAAAUGGUGAAACAAGUCAUUCAUCAAGGAGGGAUCUAGGUGGCUGAUGCCUGCAUCAACCACAGUCUGCCUCUGUUCAGCUUGAAUCCAUUUCUUCAUUUGUAGUCUGAGGGUGUAAGACAAAUGCAUGUGUCUGUGUGUUCAGGAUUGUAGGAGGUGGAGGUCUGUAUGUUUAGGGUAGUGUGUCUUUGUGCAUACAAAGUUGGAGUUUGUAUGUAUGAAUUUAGGGAGUUUGAGGGGCUGUAUAUGUAUUAGGGAGGAAAGCCACCACAUAUGUUUGUGGUAGAGUUGGAGUUUUGUGUAUAAUGUGAGGAUUCUUUUGGAUUAUAUGUGUUCUGGACUGUGGGUAGUUUAUGUGGAUAUUCAGAGUAUGUGUAGGGAGCAUGUAUAUGUAUUUGAAGGAGGGUAAGGUUAUGUGAAGUAUGUGUUGAAUUCUGGUGGGAUGAGGCAUGUGUGAAUUCAUAGCUUCUGCAGGUUUUAUGCAGCUGGCCUGAGAAGGUUGGAGUGUCUAAUAUAUGCAUUUGGAGAUUGGGAGUUGGUGUGUCUGUGCAUUUAUUUGGAUCAUGGAAGGUUGUAGAUGUGUAUUUCUAACUGUAGAUGAUUGAGGAUGCAUAUUUGGGGAGUUUUGAGAGGACGUGUAUGUGUGUGUGUGUGCAGUGUGGUAUUUCUCUGUUUUUGAGGGUGGGGUAUGCAUCCAUCAAAAUAUCUCAGAUUAUCUGAUGUAAGAAAAUAAUUCUGCAUCUCAGUGACUUCCAACAAGGUAGGUUUCUCAUGUAUGUUAUGUGUCCUCCAUUGGUUGGCUUUGAUCAGUUACUGGUCCUGUGUCUUGGAUCCAGAUGGAUGGAGCAGCCUCAUUUGGGACAGGACUAGAAGGACUUCUUCUGCUCAGAGUCAUAUAUGGCAUUUCUGCUCACAUUUCAUUUGCCAUAACAAGUCAUGUGGCCAUACUCGAGUUAAACAGACUAGGGAUGUAUAAUCUCUCAGACAGAGAUACCACAGAGAAGGACCAUGAAUACUCUUCAUAGUGAUACAUCUGCCCCAUUGUGUAUACAUUCAGAACAUGUUCCAUUGCUGUGUUUAUAUUUCACUAAGGAGUAUGGGGAGUUGAUGAGGGAGUGUGUUUAGGUGUGUGAAGGCUGGUGUGUGACGAGGCAUUGGCAGGUGUGGGAUAUUUUUAUACUAACACAUUUUGGGGAUUUGUAUCUGUUUUGGGUAUUUGUAUUCUGUGUCAUGUAUAUGUGUUAUAUAUUUAAGAUAUAUAUUUAUGUAGGUAGGUUAAGUAUUCAGUGGUGUCAGAAAUGUGUUUUUAGGGGAAUAUGGGUGAGUUUUUAGUAUAUUACAGAAGCAUAGUGGGUUUUGGGUUUAUUCUGAGGGUACUGGAUAGUUAUGUGUUCCUAUUUGAAUGGUGUGUGUGUAUUUGCAUGCUGGGGGUGGUUUUGUGUAUUUUGACGGUACUGUGAGAUAUUGUGAAUAUGUGUGCAUACAUUUGAAAAGGCAGGUAAUGUUCUAUGUUUUAAUGCUUUGUGUUUUGGAUUUGUGUGUAUUCAGAGUAGAGGACUUUAUGCUUACGGUGUCUAGAUGAGAAUUUAGAUGUACAUUUUUGGUGUGAAGAAUUUGGAGGCAGAGAGAUGGCUGGGUGUAUUUGGGUGUUACCACUACAUGUAUGUAACCUGAGGAUAUGGACAGAAUAUUUAUAGUUUUCAAGAUGGAGGCUUGUGUAUGUUUGUAUUUGGGAGUAUACGGCCAUGUGUGUAUUUGGAUCUGUGAGUAUAUCGUGGGUGUGUUAUUCAAGCAUCUGCAUGUUUGAGUUUGUGUAAUCUGAAGAGUGUGAAUUUAUUCAGGAAAUGUGGUGGCUGUGCGUCCACUCUAGAGCUGUGAGUGUGUGGUCUGUGCUUCUACCAGGAGAGUAUAGGAUAAUUUCCUCUUUUUUUCUAUUUUUAUAACAUUUUAUGUAACUCAUAAAACAGUGUUUGUAUAAAAAUUCACACAAAGUUGCUAGAGAGCAUACGAUUUCCAAAAAUGUCCUGGGUUUUUCAUUACAUUAAGUUUUUCUAAGGAUGCACUCAAAUCAAUGGUAAAAUGCAGACAUUAUGUGACACUUCAUUAUCUUUAGCAAAACUAUUCUCACUACUUUGUCUCCUCACAGUAUUAACUCUGAUACCCACUUUGUGCAGGGUUUGCUAGUACUAGGAUGUCACAAAACCAUUAAGGCUGGAUCUACAAGAGGCAAAUAUUUCCAAACAGCAGUAAUAGCCCCUUGGCCCCCACCCCCACUUCAUAUAUCCAUACAGUCUGUCUACACAGUGAGGCAGGGUGCAAGCUCACCACCACUUGGGAGUCUCAAGAUCCUCCCUCUAUUGGGUGAGAAGCAAACAUUUGGGGAAAAUGUUGGAAACUGAGGCCGUCUCUACAGGAAACCACGUGGCCAUGCUCUAGUGUUUUUGGGUCAGCGACCCUUACCAAUUAAACGGCCACUCAGUACAUUCAUAACUAUCUUCAUUCUUUAAAAACUUACUAACAGAGAAACCAAUGAACCCUACCACCUACUGUGACUUACUAGUUCAGUCAACAUCAAAACGUGUCUGCUAAUUUUUUAGUCCUUGGGAUACAAGACAAAAAAAAACAAACAAGUAAAAACCAAAGAAUUUAGACAGGGGGAAGGAAAGGGAUUGCCAGUAGAUUUCAUGGAACACAUUAAAUUUUGAAAAAAAUCAGUAUUUUCUACUUCUCUUCCUUCGUGUAAAAAGUUUAAAAUAAAAAAAUGCCCACUGGAGCCACCUGUAUGGAUGGAGAAGUGAGGACAUGAUAUAGACAGGGCACAGGACCUGCAGUCGUUUCCUGACGACAGUCCAGAGGGACAGGAAUAGUUCCCAGGAUGUGUCCAUUUCUCUUCACAGAAAGGGACUGUAACAUUUUGAGGCAAGAAGCCCUACACGUGAAAGGUGUUAAGAAAAUCAUCACUGAAAUAUGGUUUCCAAAAAUUGAGCAUGCUCUAGGUUACAAACAGACAUAUUUAAUUCCUAGAACUUGUUGAACUUCUCUGACAUGGGUAGAUGGGAAUUUCAAAAGAGUUAUUAAUAAUUGUGGUUCUAAAGUUGCAGGGUCAACAUUUCACCCUCUAGAAAGCAGGGCAAUUCAGGGCUUAGAGUCUUCUUGUUUACAUCAUAGAAACCAGAACAAAUUUCAUGGGACCCCUCAGCCCCAACAACCAGCGGCCAGGUGGAGAGAAGGCCACAGCUGUCUUUGGGUAGGGAGCCUGUGUGUGCAUGCUGUGUGCAUGUGCUGGAGAGACUAAGGCAUAGAGAAGGGCCCAAGCAAUGAGGUAAAGUGAGUCUCCUGGCUGCGCUAGUCCCUUCUUUCCAGGCACAAAGAAGUUGAACUUGUUAUUCAUGUAGGCCCCCUUCCUCUCACCUCAGCUUUUAGUAAGCAGUGUGUGUGUGCACGAGUAGCUGUGUGUGACAGAGUAAGUCCCUGUGCCUUUCUAGAUUUCAGCAAUUCAGGUUUGCAGUUUCAACAGAAAUAAUCUGUAAAUGACACGAGCAAAUUUACAAGUUAGAUUAGCAACUUUACAUUGCUUAAAAUCUGAUAUUAUAUUUUUAAAAAUGCCUCUGGGUACAGGCAAAAUUAUGUCAUAUGGCCACUGGAACUGAAGUCCUUACCAGCUAUGUGAAGAAUAUUCAGAUUGUUUCUGUUAUCUCUGCAUUUUAAAGUAGCAAAAUACUAAGCCAUUAGGUUAUUGAACCUGUAAUAUUCCCACAGGGGUUUUAUGUCUACCCCAUGGGAUUCAAUUAAUUUUCCUGGACCCUGGUUAGACUGUUUCCUUUCCCUCUUAGGCAUUUGGCCCCCAAAGUUAGGUAGGUAAAAGUGUCAUUUUUAAAGAUUUUACCUGUCAGGGAAUUUCCUGGUUGGUGCUCCUGGAAAGCAUGCAGCUGGCCGGCGGGAGUCUGACAUUCUCAGUCAGUGGGGAGAGAAGACAUGUGUCUCCCAAAGCCAAGAGGUAGCCAGGUGGAGGACAGCAGGACUUUCUAGGGGGUCCAAGGGGAAAGUUCUGAGUGGACCCUGGGAAGGGACAUGGGUGCCCCAUCUGAGAUGACCUGUGUCCUUCCAAUGCCUGGUAUCCCCAAGAGGGGCCCAGACAUGGACCGCCCUGGGGAACGAGGAUGUGGUGCUGCCUGGAGGAGCUAACACUGAGGUUUGGGGAAGUCACCACACAGCUCCCAGAACCCAGAAUCUCUGACAAGCAACCAUGUGUGGAGAGGGAAUGGGGACAGUGGAAGGACACAGCUCAAAUGAAGACACUGCGGACAUGUUUCCAUGGCUUUCUACAUUCUUCAUCAUCAUCGAGUGUUCUCCUCUACACAGUGAGCACAACAUUUUACCCACGUGCCUGAUGGACAGGCCAAGCUGAAUGGAAGCCUUCUGAGGCACUGGAGCAGAAGGGAAAACUUGCACAUGGUCGCAAAGGACUUCACACUGUUCCAUCCCCUCUACUGCCAUCCAAGAGGCCUCUUGACUCUUCCAGAAUCAGAUGUAAAAGACAAGGUCAGUAAAAUCAGUAUCCAUGUCACCUGAAGCUAUGAUUAGGCAUUGUACACGAACAUGGCACUUUUAUUUACUUAUUUAUUUAUUUAUUAUUUAUUUUGAGACGGAGUUUUGCUCUUUUCGCCCAGGCUGGAGCGCAGUGGCGCUAUGUUGGCUCACUGCAACCUCUGCCUUCCGAGUUCAAGUGAUUCUCCUGUCGGCCUCCUGACUAGCUGGGAUUACAGGCACCCACCACUACGCCUGGCUAAUUUUUGCUUCUUUUUUUUUUAAGUAGAGAUGGGGUUUCACCGUUGGCCAGGCUGGUCCUGAACUCCUGACCUCAGGUAAUCCACCUGCCUUGGCCUCCCAAAGUGCUGGGAUUACAGGCAUGAGCCACCGUGCCUGGCCUGAAGAUGGCACUUUUAAAAAGAUUUUUUUCUAAGUAAAAUGGCCCCCAAAGAGCCCAAUGAUUUUUUUAAGGGUUUAUUUUUCAUUUUAAAAAAACUGGAUAAAAAUGAAAGCUGUAAAAUAUGGGAAGAGGAGCAAGAGAGCUGCUGAGUUUGCAUUUGAAAUUGUGAGGGGCUGGGGAGGACACGACCAGGUAGAGAGGACCCCUACCCACUAGUCCCUGCUCUCACAGCUUGCGCUCCCCACACUCAGGCUGCACCACCAGGGAACACAGGACAGAAGUCUAGAGGACAAGAGACCAAACUCAAGUCUUCUUUCUUGUGGUUGGUUGGGUGUUUACAUGUGCAAGUGUAGUAAGCCACACCCCACAGACAUAAGGUGCCUGUCUGUGGAUGCCAUAGGCAUGCUCCUAAGCUCAGUCUCUGGUGACCCCGAGUCUCUGGGCAGGCCACGGGCCUUCACUUCUCCACUUUCUUGGCUUUCUUGAGGAUGUUGCAUU
Molecule: long non-coding RNA, 7176 nt
Filed under: Homo sapiens (human)
Lineage: Eukaryota; Metazoa; Chordata; Mammalia; Primates; Hominidae
Description: non-protein coding NUTM2B-AS1:49
Source: RNAcentral